UGCUCAAGUGAUCCUCACACCUCAGCCUCCCGAGUAGCCAGGAUCACAGAAUGUCCAGUGCUAGGAGACUCAUAAGGUGGAGAGAAAUGGCCUGACUUAUAGAAACUGAGUGAGACUCCGGAACCACUUGAUGCAGAGACACCUGUGACCUGAAAAAGUCUAUUUGUGUUUCCUCUGGAAAUCCGGGCCAAGAAGACAGGGACAAGCUCCCAACUCUGACUACCCCUUUUAUAGGGAAAAAAAUCCCAUACCCUCUUUGCAGCAAGUGACAAAUCCUUGUCAUAUAGAGAUGGCUUUUCCUCCUCCUCUUCAAACAUCUUUUAGCAGCAACAGCAGCUCAAGUAACACGUUAUUUCAGCGUUAAAAUGCGGGCUUUGUAGACCUCUUAGGCAGACAGAGGCAAUUUCAAAGGAAACUUCUUUGGCUGGGUACUCAGUGUUACACAGGGAUUUGGGGAGUUAAUAUUCACUGUUUCUGUUGUUGGAGAAAAGGAAAGCAGAACUGCUCUUUUUCAUGACUCUCCCCAAUGUGCAUCUGUUUCCAUUCGUAUCUUGGAAUUGGGAAGAUGGAGGAGACUUGAGCGGUGACCCACCUAGCCUCUUGACGCACGCUGGGCUCACCUUAAAACCCCCCAAACAGAUGGCAGUUGAUCAUGGUUUUAAAUAUCCCAGCAUAGACUUUCUGCAGCCUCCCUUGUUAGCCACUAUCAGCGCUUAACAUUCUGUCAUCUGAAUAACUCCUUAAAAAUGAUACCAACGGUAGUAGAAAUUUAAAAGGGACCUUCCAAAAAAAAAAACAUGCAAAAGCUUACCACCCCAGUAAAUCACCCGCAACAAUGUUGCAACAGUUUAAAUUUACUGCAGAGAGAGUGAAGUUUAGGAGACACCGCUUUAUAAUAUUUUCGAGAGAUAGUUAUGAGUGCCAAUGAGUCUUGUUCCUUUUGCAGCAGGGCCUGCUCCACUGAGUCAUCCUGCCUUCAGAAGCUUCCAGUUAAGCAGCAGGCCCCGGCCAUAGGCUCCCCGUGUCCCCAGCCUCCAGAGGAGAGGCUCCCACACGAUGUUCUCAUUGCCCUUAGCUCCACUCCAAAAGGGGCCUGCAGUUCUGCUGCUUAUCAGGGGUCUACUGGGAAGUGAGGUGUCACUGUCCCUUUCUGGCAGCCUCUGCACUGUCUGUGAGUGGCUCUCCUGGAUUAAGAGUUUGCAAAGUAUGGCCAGUGGCCAGGACUGGCCUGCUGCCUGUUUUUGUUUAACCCGCGAGCUAAGAAUAGUUUUUACCUAUUUUAAGUAGUUGAAAAAAAAUCAAGAGAAGAAUACUAUUUCGUGAUAUGUGAAAAAUCACAUGAAAUUCAAAUGUAAGUGUCCAUAAAUAAAGCCUUACUGGAA
Rhinopithecus roxellana (golden snub-nosed monkey) is the source of this 1382-nucleotide long non-coding RNA. RefSeq lists it as uncharacterized. The transcript has 2 exons. The record is from RefSeq and is a predicted model, not a curated record. NCBI's taxonomy places the organism in Eukaryota, Metazoa, Chordata, Mammalia, Primates, Cercopithecidae.